Molecule: ribosomal RNA, 207 nt
Filed under: uncultured bacterium
Lineage: Bacteria
Description: partial 16S ribosomal RNA
Rfam family: Bacterial small subunit ribosomal RNA
Source: RNAcentral
AGCGUAGACGGAACGGCAAGUUUGAAGUGAAAUACCCGGGCUUAACCCGGGAACUGCUUUGAAAACUGUCGAUCUAGAGUGUCGGAGAGGUAAGUGGAAUUCCUGGUGUAGUAGUGAAAUGCGUAGAUAUCAGGAAGAACACCGGAGGCGAAGGCGGCUUACUGGACGAUAACUGACGUUGAGGCUCGAAAGCGUGGGGAGCAAACA